This 212-nucleotide long non-coding RNA is filed under the name Carica papaya (papaya). Its description in RNAcentral is "long non-coding RNA (CPAP_LNC001568)". The record is from RNAcentral. Lineage: Eukaryota; Viridiplantae; Streptophyta; Magnoliopsida; Brassicales; Caricaceae.
CAAAAAUUUCAUAUGUUAUAUUCUAAAAUAAGACUUAUGUUUUUCACAGCCUGCACAAAAUAAUCAAGCCUACACAUUUAUUCUCUUCUCACAUUGUAAUUGUUCUGCAAUAAUUAGUUAAUCCCCUUGAUUGAUGUAAAGAAGAAGUAUCGUAAAAAGUUGGUUACCUUCUCUAUGUAUUUUAUAUUAUUAUCAUUAUCGACUUAUGAUUU